This is a long non-coding RNA of Vigna radiata var. radiata (mung bean), 609 nucleotides long. RefSeq lists it as uncharacterized. NCBI's taxonomy places the organism in Eukaryota, Viridiplantae, Streptophyta, Magnoliopsida, Fabales, Fabaceae. The transcript is spliced from 3 exons. The record is from RefSeq and is a predicted model, not a curated record.
GGGUGAACUGUGUUUUUAAUUUUUUAAAUUUGCUCUGUCCUCAUUUCCCCUUUCUCUCAACGAAAACCCUACACAAUUCAAUACCUCUAUCUCUUCCAACGAAAACCAUACACAGUUCAACACCUUCUGCUUGCAAACUAACCAGUGACCAGGAAGUGCCCUGCGCAGUGUAUCGACGUGGCGUUGAGCGUAGCAGCGGUGGUGUUGCUUGGUGCUUGUAAUCCCAAGACUGGGGCUAGGAUCAUUGCUUUGGUUGGUGGUCCCUGCACAGAAGGACCUGAUUNGGUGACUUUUGAUGAUGAUAAAUCAAAAGUAGUGGAUUUCAAUAUUAUCCACCAUCUAAUCNUGAUUUUCAAGCUAUUGAAGAAGAAAAGCCUCCANUGUUAUUGAAGAGCCACGUUGAUGCACUAAUAUUUCUAGAAUGGAUCAUUUACCUCUUUGUAUGGAUUCAUCCUCAACUGAGAAUAGUAAAGGUCGAUCAGAUGUGUGGGGACAUUUUACUAAAGAAGAACCUUAUUCUGAGAAGAAGGCUAAAUGCAAUUAUUGUGGUAAUUUGAUUAAAUAUUUGGGUGGAACAAGCGGGAUGAGGAAUCAUNUGAUGAGAUGCAA